This is an RNA transcript of Canis lupus familiaris (dog), 1830 nucleotides long. RefSeq lists it as uncharacterized. The record is from RefSeq and is a predicted model, not a curated record. Lineage: Eukaryota; Metazoa; Chordata; Mammalia; Carnivora; Canidae. The transcript has 3 exons.
GGGCCACAUGACCAGUUCUACACAUGAGUUGUGAGUAGAACCGAAAAGCUCAGAUUUGAAGUUUUACUUGAUGAUGUAAGACCUUCCAGAAUUGUUUUUCUGCCUUCCAUGACAACUAGCAAUGUCUCCUCAGUCAGCUAAUAACUGAAGCUGGGGCUCAACCCUUUUGAGAUCUUCUGAGAAGCCCUGUCAAGCCAGCCCCAGAGAUUUCCUACCUACAGAUAAAAUAAAACAAAAUAAAAACAGCUCUGGUCCAGUCCCCAGCCCCUGUCCCUUGUUGGGCAUGAAACCUCUGGCACAUCCAGGCAGCUGAAGAAGUUUCCAGAGCCAGAACAAGUCUUCAAGUGGAGAAGCAAAUUGAUGCACACAGUUCCCAUGAGGGGGAAUGGUCCGCCACAGUUACAGUAUUAUUCAGUUUUUACUCCCAAAAGGAGAGAGGCUGAGGGAGGAGGCUGACCAGCUCUGGCUCCUGACCACCACCUUGAGCCUCGAUGAACAACACAGAGCCCACAGAGUGCAGUUCUAAUUCCUCUGACAUCCCAUUUUCAUUCUUUGAUAUUUGUCUGUAUCCAGUUUACACAUAAAUGUUUCCAGUAAAGAGCUCCAAACGUCCUUUUCAGAAAUCUGAAUCCACAUGAAAACAAUGGCAACAAGAAAAAGGUGUAAACUUUCCAGAACAAGCCCAGAGUUUGAAAAUGUGAUAAAGAGGUUAUUGUGUGUCCAAACUUUUCACACACGAAUUGGAGGAGAUUUAACACCAGGAAUAAUAAACAGAGGAAGACCAGCUAAUGCAGAGCAGAUGGGCCUGCAGGGCAAUGCUAAGCAUUUCAACAUCUUUCCCCGUGGACUUUGGACUCAAGUUGACCAAAUGCUGGUUUCUUUAGUUGAAAUAAAGUUAAUGCAAUUGGGGAAAUCCGUAAAUAGGGCUGGCUUGAUUUCUAGGGGGAGCCUACUGGACUAAAAUUUUUAAGAACCUAUGAUAUGGCAGGCAUUUAAAAUUCACUACUUUAAUCCUGACCAUGGCUCCAUUUUACUGACAAGGAAACUGAGGCUCUGAAAGUAUAAAUCACUUACCAAAGGGCAUACAGCCAGUAAGAGAGUGAAGCCAGGAUCGGUUCUAGGUCUGCCUCUGCAUAUGCCAUGUUUCUGCAAACUAGUGUAAUAGGUGAGCAAGGAAAAGAGGGUCAUGGUCUAAUAAGUAUCAGAAACACUGAGAUACAUAUAUAUUUAUUCAUACAUGAUAUCUGUCUAUAUAGAGACAUAUUAUACAUAUACACUAUGUAUACAAUAUAUAUUUAUAUAGUAACAGUCUUAUUGAAUUAUAAUUGUUGUAUAAUAAAUUAUACAUAUUUAAACCAUACAUUUUGCUAAGUUUUGACAUAUGUUUAUAACCUAUGAAACCAUCGCCAUAAACUAAAGAGUGAGCAUAUCCAUUAAUCUCAAAAGUUUCCUCAUGCCCCAUGUAAUUCCUUCCUCUUUUCUCUCCUACCCUUAACCCCAAUCACUGAUCCCUCACUACAGAUUAGCUGCCUUUUCUAGAGUCUUAUAUAGAUGUAAUCAUACAGUAUAUGUUCUUUUUUGCCUGUCUUCUUUCACUCAGAAUGAUUAUUUUGAGAUUCAUUCACAUUAUUACAUGUUUAUUUUUUUAUAUUACUGAGUACUAUUCCAUUGUAUGAAUAUGCCACACUUUGCCUAUUCGUCUAUAGAUGGACAUUUACAUUGUUUCUAAAUUGGGGCUAAUACAAAUAAAGCCACUAUGUACACUGGUGGUCAAUUCUUUGUAAGACACAAGCUCUCUUUUAUUUUGGAUAAAUACCUAAGGGUGGAAUG